Molecule: long non-coding RNA, 827 nt
Organism: Oreochromis aureus
Lineage: Eukaryota; Metazoa; Chordata; Actinopteri; Cichliformes; Cichlidae
Source: Ensembl
UUAUCGCGUGUUCUGUGAGCAAAUGCUUUUGCAUAUUCGUAGUGUUUCCUCCCAUAAAUGAAAUAUCUACUUUGCAAGUAUUGCAAGUUGCCCUGUUGUCAUCCGUUCUCGUAAAGUAUAACCAAACUUUUGAGCGUCUGAGCCGCUUAGGCGCCCUGCCAGGUAAAUGACGCUCCGCAACGUGGUGACGUCAUUCGAGGCGACUGGAAUCGAUAAGGGAAUCGUUUGCAAAAAUGGCAAACAAUUCCAAGGAAUUGAAACAGUGGGAACCGGUUCUCAACAAGAACCAGGUUUCGAUACCCAUCCCUAAAUAUAAUGGGUGUUAGUCUCUGGGUACUGUUACUGUGCUCGGCUGCUAGUGAUGCUAGCUCUUUGCCUGCCUGUCUGAUGCAGUGCUACAUGGAAAUUUGUGUCAGCUGGAGAAGGCAAUGACAAAUACAAAGAGUAGAGUUACAACUGUGCGGACUGUAGAGUGUGAAUGGAGAUAAGGCAACAUGCUGGAACCCUGAUAACAACAGUCAGAGAUCGUUGUCAACUUCUCUUGAACUUCGGACUCGGGCAUUCUCCCUUCAAGAUUUUCUGGUAGAGAGUAUUCCAAGCUCUGAAGCGGUAAAGCUGGUUCAGGACUCCAGGACUGAAAAAUGAAGCCAAUGAAAAGAAAAGGCAUGACAAUACUAGAGUCCCUCAAGCAUUUCUCUAUCCAUUCAGUUCAAUUCAAUUCAGCUAAUUUUUAUGUAUCGAGUGCCAAAUCACAACAAUAGUUGCCUCAAGGCACUUAUGGUGAUGUUUCAAAGCCAGGAGAUAUGAGGGUUGGAUUUCACUUUGAA